Molecule: ribosomal RNA, 1135 nt
Filed under: Amanita emodotrygon
Lineage: Eukaryota; Fungi; Basidiomycota; Agaricomycetes; Agaricales; Amanitaceae
Description: partial large subunit ribosomal RNA
Rfam family: Eukaryotic large subunit ribosomal RNA
Source: RNAcentral
AUCAGUUUCUAACUAACAGGAUUCCCUUAGUAACUGCGAGUGAAGUGGGAAAAGCUCAAAUUUAAAAUCUGGCAGUCUGAAUUUACUUCUUUGGCUGUCCGAGUUGUAAUCUAGAGAAGUGCUACCUGUACUGGACCAUGUACAAGUCUCCUGGGAUGGAGCAUCACAGAGGGUGAGAAUCCCGUCUAUGACAUGGACUACCAGUGUGUUGUGGAGUACUUUCAAAGAGUCGAGUUGUUUGGGAAUGCAGCUCUAAAUGGGUGGUAAACUCCAUCUAAAGCUAAAUAUUGGCGAGAGACCGAUAGCGAACAAGUACCGUGAGGGAAAGAUGAAAAGGACUUUGGAAAGAGAGUUAAACAGUACGUGAAAUUGUUGAAAGGGAAACACUUGAUGUCAGCUGUGUUAGCUGGGGAUCAGCCUAGCUUUUUCGCUUGGCGCAUUUCCUGGUCUGACAGGCCAACAUCAGUUUCGGCUGCUGGAGAAAGGCAGAUGGAAUGUGGCACCUUUGGGUGUGUUAUAGCUUUCUGUCAGAUGUAGCAGCGGGGACUGAGGUAUGCAGUGCGCCGUAAGGCAGGGUUUCGACCACACUCGCACUUAGGAUGUUGGUUUAAUGGCAUCAAUUGACCCGUCUUGAAACACGGACCAAGGAGUCUAACAUGCCUGCGAGUAUUUGGGUGAUAAACCCUUGUGCAUAAUGAAAGUGAAAAUUGAGAUCCCUGUCAUGGGGAGCAUUGAUGCCCGGACUUGAGCUUUUAGCGAUGGAUCUGCGGUAAAGCAUGCAUGUUGGGACCCGAAAGAUGGUGAACUAUGCCUGAAUAGGGCAAAGCCAGAGGAAACUCUGGUGAGGCUCGUAGCGAUUCUGACGUGCAAAUCGAUCGUCGAAUUUGGGUAUAGGGGCGAAAGACUAAUCGACCAUCUAGUAGCUGGUUCUGUCGAGUUCCCCCUCAGGAAAACACCAGCUACUAGAUGGUUCGAUAGUCUUCGCCUUAUACCAAUCCGACCGAUCGAUUUGCCGUCGGAUUCGCUACGCUUCACAGAGCUUCCUCUGGCUUGCUAUCAGCUAGUUACAUUCUUUCGGGUCCAGUGCGUGCUACGCAAAUCUACGAAGACUAGCUCCGGACUGCAGCUCCAGUUA